UGGAAAGUUUCGUGUCUGGCGUUGGUAAGGCGUGCGUUAGCCGUCGUUGCUCGUCCGUUUGACGGUGCGCGCUCGCUGUGUGCUUGUGCGACGCGAUGUUUUACGACUCGGGAUGUUCGUGCAUAGUGCUUUGUUGUUCGAAUACUUCCAGAACACGACCCGGAAUAUAUGUGCCGGCCCCCAAAAGAACAACAGGGCGGAAGCGUUUUUAAAGUACUCCGGAACGCCAAACAGCUGAUUGGUGCGCCCAGAGAAAAGCUGAAGAAUUGCAGAAUCGGCGCAUUUCAAGAAGAGAUGCCAUGAAUCCUCCGAUACCAUCUGUUCAUUUUCUUCGCGUUUAUCAUCACUAGUUUUAUGAAAAUCAACGUUUUUGGAAAUGUAGUCAAUAAAGUGCGGCCAAUAUUAGUUGUGGUA
Molecule: long non-coding RNA, 414 nt
Organism: Rhipicephalus sanguineus (brown dog tick)
Lineage: Eukaryota; Metazoa; Arthropoda; Arachnida; Ixodida; Ixodidae
Exons: 2
Source: RefSeq, a predicted model, not a curated record